This 830-nucleotide ribosomal RNA is filed under the name Brachionus quadridentatus cluniorbicularis. Its description in RNAcentral is "SSU rRNA". It matches the Rfam family "Eukaryotic small subunit ribosomal RNA", at positions 104 to 931 of the family's 1831-position model. The record is from RNAcentral. Lineage: Eukaryota; Metazoa; Rotifera; Eurotatoria; Ploima; Brachionidae.
AAUCAGUUAUGGUUCCUUAGAUCGUUCAUACUACAUGGAUAACUGUGGUAAUUCUAGAGCUAAUACAUGCAAAAAGCUCCGACCGUAUGGGAAGAGCGCUUUUAUUAGACCAAAACCAAUGGGGUCGCAAGAUCCCUUUGUAUGGUGACUCUGGAUAACUUUGUGCUGAUCGCAUGGCCUCGAGCCGGCGACGUAUCUUUCAAGUGUCUGCCCUAUCAACUUUCGAUGGUAAGCGAUUUGCCUACCAUGGUUGUAACGGGUAACGGGGAAUCAGGGUUCGAUUCCGGAGAGGGAGCAUGAGAAAUGGCUACCACAUCUACGGAAGGCAGCAGGCGCGCAAAUUACCCACUCCUAGAACGGGGAGGUAGUGACGAAAAAUAACAAUACCGGACUCAAUGAGGCUCGGUAAUUGAAAUGAGUACAGUUUAAAACCCUUAACGAGGAUCUAUUGGAGGGCAAGUCUGGUGCCAGCAGCCGCGGUAAUUCCAGCUCCAAUAGCGUAUAUUAAAGUUGUUGCAGUUAAAAAGCUCGUAGUUGGAUCUCGGGUACUAGCAUGUGGUACGCUUAAUUGCUGUUACUACAUGUCUGGUCCUAAUCAACCGGUUGGCCGUUGAUGCCCUUUAUUGGGUGUUUUCGGUAGCCGGUACGUUUACUUUGAGAAAAUUAGAGUGCUUAAAGCAGGCCUUACGCCUGAAUAAUGUUGCAUGGAAUAAUAGAAUAGGACCUCGGUUCUAUUUUGUUGGUUUUGUAGAGCAUUGAGGUAAUGAUUAAUAGGGACAGACGGGGGCAUUCGUAUUGCGGUGUUAGAGGUGAAAUUCUUGGAUCGCCGC